AACUUCUCUGGAGAUCCCUGUGUGUCUGAGGCCUUUUGAAGCUUGUAUUGACUGUGGGGGUUGCUAUGACCCUUUUGCAAGACCUCCUACUUGGAUCUGUUGAACCUCAUGAGAUUCACCUGGACCUCAUCCUGGAUCAAGACUGUCUAGAUCUCUCUGCUUGGCAUCCCAUCCCUUAUGCAUGUUGACCACAGCUUGGUGUCAUCUGAAAAUUUGCUGAGGGCGCACUUGAUCCCACAAUCAAUGCCACUGAUGAAGGUGUUUAAGAAUAUUGGUCUCAGUACUGACCCCUGAGAGACACCUUUCAUUAUUGAUCUCCAUUUGGACACUGAAUGGUUGACCAUCACUCUCUGGAUAUGAUUUCACAACCAAUUCCUCAUUCGCUAAACUGUGCAUCCGUCAAAUCCGUAUCUUUCCAGUCUGGAGAGGAGGAUGUUGUGGAGGACUAUACCAAAAGCCUUACUGAAGUCCAGAUAGCUCACAUCAGUGAUUCCUCCUUUGUCCACUGAUGCAGAUGCGCCACCAUAGAAGGCCAUGAAGCUGUUCUGACCUCUGAACAGGACUCUAUAAAACCUUAUUUAUCCAGAAUUUACUAAAAUAUAAAAGAACCCUGGAAAAAAAUUUCAUGUGGAAGAAAAAGCAUAGAAACAAAAAAAUCCUGAAGUGCAAAAUUUGUUUUAUGACUCUGUCUAAUGCUAUUUAAUCAUGUUCACAUAUUCUGAAAUUACUGUGAGGACAUCAGUACUGAUGGUUUAGUAUACGCUUCUUGUCUCAUGCUGAGACAAGAAAUUCCCAAUAUGAUUUUAUUUUGUAUUCUAUUUUAAGGCUAUUACUACAAUAUUUUGAGAAUUUACUUUGACUUACUCUGCAUGGUAAGAUGGACAAGUCGUUAAUAAGAAGAGUUUUAUUGUGAACUAUAUCAAUAUGAGAUCCUUGCUAGAUUCAUAUAUUUAGCAGUGUAACAACCCUAUCUAAUGUUGAAUAGGAAAAUGGUAUGAAUAAUUUUGACUUAAGUAUACUUCCAACCUAAGAAGCUAGGGUAUCUGAUGAAAUAGUAAGAGAGAUAUGAAUAUGAAUCAAAAUUAUCUUUCUACUUCUCUCUGGUCCUCCCACAAAUAGAGAAGUUGGUUUGCAUUUAAGCUAAGUCCAGACACAAUCAUCCAAUACUAACUUAGUUACAUUUCCUUCCAGAAUAGACAAGAUAUCAAAUACUCAUUUUUCAGCUACUUCCAGUCUCAAGAUGGUAAUAUCAAAUACAUUUAUGCUUUGCAAACAUAAAGGUGAAAAGCUU
Molecule: long non-coding RNA, 1291 nt
Organism: Gallus gallus (chicken)
Lineage: Eukaryota; Metazoa; Chordata; Aves; Galliformes; Phasianidae
Source: Ensembl